RNAcentral lists this ribosomal RNA (253 nucleotides) under uncultured bacterium. Its description in RNAcentral is "partial 16S ribosomal RNA". It matches the Rfam family "Bacterial small subunit ribosomal RNA", at positions 524 to 776 of the family's 1533-position model. The record is from RNAcentral.
UACGUAGGGGGCAAGCGUUGUCCGGAAUUAUUGGGCGUAAAGAGCGUGUAGGCGGUUCGGUAAGUCAGCUGUGAAAGUCAAGGGCUCAACCCUUGAAAGCCGGUUGAUACUGUCGGGCUAGAGUCCGGAAGAGGCGAGUGGAAUUCCCGGUGUAGCGGUGAAAUGCGCAGAUAUCGGGAGGAACACCAAUGGCGAAGGCAGCUCGCUGGGACGGUACUGACGCUGAGACGCGAAAGCGUGGGGAGCAAACAGG